This 499-nucleotide ribosomal RNA is filed under the name uncultured bacterium. Its description in RNAcentral is "partial 16S ribosomal RNA". It matches the Rfam family "Bacterial small subunit ribosomal RNA", at positions 28 to 507 of the family's 1533-position model. The record is from RNAcentral.
GACGAACGCUGGCGGCGUGCCUAAUACAUGCCAGUCGAGCGAAGUUUUUCUGGUGCUUGCACUAGAAAAACUUAGCGGCGAACGGGUGAGUAACACGUAAAGAACCUGCCUCAUAGACUGGGACAACUAUUGGAAACGAUAGCUAAUACCGGAUAACAGUAUUUCUCGCAUGAGAGAUAUUUAAAAGUUGGUUAUGCUAACACUAUGAGAUGGCCUUGCGGUGCAUUAGCUAGUUGGUGGGGUAAAGGCCCACCAAGGCGACGAUGCAUAGCCGACCUGAGAGGGUGAUCGGCCACACUGGGACUGAGACACGGCCCAGACUCCUACGGGAGGCAGCAGUAGGGAAUCUUCCGCAAUGGGCGAAAGCCUGACGGAGCAACGCCGCGUGAGUGAAGAAGGAUUUCGGUUCGUAAAGCUCUGUUGUUAGGGAAGAAUGGAUAUGUAGUAACUAUACAUGUAAGAGACGGUACCUAACCAGAAAGCCACGGCUAACUACGUG